CCAGGGCUCGAACCUGUGUCCCUUGCAUUGGCAGGCGGAUUUUUAACCACUGCACCACCAGGGAAGUCCCAAGCUGUUAUAUUUUGUGUGCCAACAAAUCCUUUCUGUUUUACUGAAAUGCUUUCUACUAACUUCAUGUUAUAUAAAGGAAUGGAAAACUAUAAUUAGGAGUUUGUGUUCUACAUGUGCUUUACUUUGUCAUUACCUGAAUACAAGCUUUGCCUUUAGAAUAUGGAUAAUAAUUUAACAAUAAUUACUUACUCACCUGUUUAAAUUUUUUUAAUUUAUAGCAUUUUUUCUUGCUUCUUUUUUGCAGUCUGUAACUAUAACAGUAACAAAUUCAGACACAGUGAAUGAUGUUAUCAACAUGUCACUUUCAAAGCUAGGAAUAACUGGCAUGAACAUCCCUAUGGAAUUAAGAUGAGCCACUUCCAGCUACUGUGCUCCUGCAGCGGGGACUGGACGACUCCACCUCUCCUUCCGCCCUUCAGGAGGCCUGCCUCCUGAAGCAGGAGUCCCAAGAGAUUCAAGCCCGGUGAAACCCAAGCACUCAGCCAGGAUCCAAGCCAGGAAUCAGUGGGGAAAGAUUCAGGCCAGAAGACAGUUAAGAGGAGUUCAGUCAAAAACUGGGCCUUGGGCUUCCCUGGUGGCGCAGUGGUUGAGAGUCCACCUGCCGAUGCAGGGGACAGGGGUUCGUGC
Aethalodelphis obliquidens (Pacific white-sided dolphin) is the source of this 699-nucleotide long non-coding RNA. RefSeq lists it as uncharacterized. NCBI's taxonomy places the organism in Eukaryota, Metazoa, Chordata, Mammalia, Artiodactyla, Delphinidae. The record is from RefSeq and is a predicted model, not a curated record. The transcript is spliced from 3 exons.